Molecule: transfer RNA, 73 nt
Filed under: Cordylochernes scorpioides
Lineage: Eukaryota; Metazoa; Arthropoda; Arachnida; Pseudoscorpiones; Chernetidae
Description: tRNA-Ser
Rfam family: tRNA
About the family: Transfer RNA (tRNA) molecules are approximately 80 nucleotides in length. Their secondary structure includes four short double-helical elements and three loops (D, anti-codon, and T loops).
Source: RNAcentral
UCCAGGGUAGCCUAGUGGACAUGGCAUCUGCCCACUAAGCGGAACAAUGUGGGUUAGAUUCCCAUCUCUGGAC